RNA transcript from Triticum aestivum (bread wheat), 5958 nucleotides. RefSeq lists it as uncharacterized. The transcript has 3 exons. NCBI's taxonomy places the organism in Eukaryota, Viridiplantae, Streptophyta, Magnoliopsida, Poales, Poaceae. The record is from RefSeq and is a predicted model, not a curated record.
GACCGGGGCAUCGGGGCAUCUAUUUAUAUAGCACCGGUGGGCGAUAGAGGGACGGACGAGUGGCGCCGGAGGAGACUCGGCAACCGCGUGCCAUCAAUCCUGGAGGCAGACAGAGAACGGGCGGCCAUCGUGUCGUUUGAACGCGUGACAGUUGCCUGCAACGGGAUGCGGUGCGGGUGGCGCUCUCUCGGCCGGCGCGCCGCUUCAAUGCCGGUGCCAGUGAGCGGUUGCGUCUGCUCUGGCCGGGCAUGAAUGCGGGCGCCGACCCUUUGGAGUGGCGCUGACCAAAAACACGCGGGAGGCGGGAGGGUUUUUUGGUGGGCCAGGACGGUCAGCAACGAGCUUGAGAUCGGUCCGGACUCCCGCAAACCUACCCCACUUUCGUCUCUGGUUUACGGGAGAAAUCACGUUCGGACCACACCGCAGACCGAUACAAAUUGACAUUGGAUAGCUUCCGCGGUCCGGACUGUAGCAGGAGGUUUACGGAUCAGGGUUGGGAUGCUCUAAAUCUCUACUCCUAAUGGACGAGUUGGUUGAAUAGUCCCCCCACUUUCGUCUGGUUUUUUUUCGACUGGUUUUUUUUCAACCGGUUUUUUUAUCAUUCAGCCCGCACCCACGAGACGCUCCUCUCCUCCCUCUCCUAUGCGCUCGAUCCCCUCUCACGCCUAGGGUUCGUAGAGGUUGCGCUGCCACCGCUCGGCUCGGCCUCCUCCUUUCCUUCCCUCCCCCCACCUCCAGCCACACCCGUCCGACCACCUACCGGAUCCCGCACCGCCACGCCUGCAUCGCUCCGGUCUUCUCCCACAACUCACGCAUCGCAACGGCACUCGCGCCCGCGCGGUCUCCUCCAUGAUCUGUCUCCCUUGCGGCGGCGGCGGCACACAUGACGCAUCCGACGGCGAGCUGCACAGGUCAACGCAUCCUCUCUUCUCUCCCAUGGAAGUCCCUCCCCUCUCACAUCUCUCUCUCUGUCUGCGAGCGGUGGCGGCCGGCUGCGCGACAGGUCGAUCUGGUCACGCCUUCCCACCAUCGACCUCGCCGUCAUUGAAGCACGCCACCAUGCCGCCGCUCUUCUGUCUCUCCCUGCUCGCCUCCCGCGGCCAAGGAGCGCCCCAACCUCGCCAUGUCGCUCGUGUGGCUCCCAUGGUGCCGCCCCGCAUAGCUCCUUGCUGAGCGCUGCAGGUCAUGAUGCCCGCCGAUUUGAUCUGCACAGCCACUCAAUCCUCGGAACUCCCGAUCGACGACAACUCGACCGGGGGCUGGGGUGAGAAGACUUCGACAAUGCAGACGAGGAAGAUCACGUCGUGGACGAUUGCCUCAGCUAGGGUCCUUUGUUGUCAUGGCACCGUUGACCCUGUGCUGCGGGCCGGCGAGGUCGUUGAACUUGCCGAAGGCAUCACCAAGCUUCUAUCUCUAGAUCUGCACCAAUCCUUGUCAGAAAAUUGAGAAGUCAUGGCAUAGUCAAAUCUGAACAAGCCGUGUGGAGCUUCGCCAUGAGUCUGCGCAUGAAUUUGGGAAUGGAUGGAUGUCACUCCGAAGAAGUCAGAGAAUAUUUUCAAUGCGCAGCAGGACAAGAGAAAAGAAGAGAAGCAAAGAGAGGUGGGUUAUCGCUCCUACAUUGCUUACAUGAACAUCUUGAUUUUUUUAGAAAGAAGGCAUAGACCCGACAUUAAAUUAAUGUCACCCUGAAAAAUAGAAAAGGCAAAAGAAACACGAUACAAUGUACAUGGUGCUGUAGGACCAGCUUACAAGACAUGAAACAAACCAUGCAAUAUAAAAUAUAACAGAGUGGAUUUUCUACUCCCAGAUGCACCUACACCAUCCAUGAACAGUAAAUUUAAAAGAAAAUGAAAAACAGAAUAAAAAAAUAUGAAAUUUUGAGACAUGAAAUUAGAUCAGAAGUUUUAGCAUCUUGCAAAUUUUCACCACGAAAUAACAUUCAUGGUAAAAAAUGAGGCGUAAGUAGAUUCACUCAUUUUGCUUUGUAAGUAGUCCAUAUUGAAAUCUAUAUAAAGACUUCUAUUUAGGAACGGAGGGAGUACAAAAGAAACGCCUCUUGAUCGUCGAAGUCCUCAGCCACGAAGCGAAACACCAAUGAGGCGUAAGUAGAUGAUGAACACAUAGCAAGCACUGCGCAGGAGUGAGAUCACGUCAAGCAAUAUUGAUUUGUUUGAUUUGAUGAAUAUUCUACCAUUUGAAAUAAAUUUGAAUGUUAUUGUUUAUUAUUCUUAUGGAGUGUUUGGCAGUGUGAGAAUGUAGUAUAAGAGUACCUUAUCCGUUCAGCGGGGUGCUCCAACUUUUGAUGCUGGCGAAGCUUUUGCAAUGAUGGCUGCAUCCUCCAUCAUUUGUUAGUCUCCGUUGGAGGUUUAAUUAAACUGAAGUAAAUAUGCUAGAUUAUUUUGUCAAAUAAAAACAUGACUGCCUAUUUUGCUUGUCAGGACCAAGAUCUCUAGCUAUCAAUGAAAUUUUCAGAGUAGUUUUUGUUGCCUUUGUGUAACCCUGAUAGCAGCUUCUUGGAAGGUUCAGAUGUGUGGCAAAGGAUUUCAAUUUUCCUGUUUACACAAAGGAAACUCGAGGAAGGUUCAGAUUUCUCAUGCUUGGUUCUGUGCUCUCAGGGUUACAUAGACAAAAAUGCCUCCUAUUUACACAAAGGCAACUCGAGGAAGGUCCAGAUUUCUCAUGACUGCUUCUUCGGCAUUUCAUGCCUGUGCCAUCUUAUUAGAAAAUGUAGUUUGUUUUAUAGCUGAUGAUGCUUGAUGCUUUUAUCGAUUAGUAAAUGCUCAGCUUUAGCUCAUAAACUACAUGGCAAAAGCUACUUCCGAUGGGUCUGAUGCAAAUAAUUUUCAUCUUUAGACAUUCCUUUAGUUGAUUAUUUAAUCCUUUUAUAAGAAUCUAUUUAGCUUUGUAUUGUUGCAGUUUCAUUAUAUAUCCACUUACCAAUGCAUCUAAAGAUUCAACAAUGUAGAAUCCAGCAUCAGUCUUGGGACUACAAAUUGUUUCUUCAUUCCUCCGUGUUGCACUGUAGGUGAUAAGGGGUCGAGGUCGUAUGUUCGUCGUGGCAUCAAUACAGUAAUACACUUCACUUUCCUUUUCCUUUUCCCUUUUUCUGUUCUUGCAUUUAUUUCUUCUUCGCGGACCUCUCUGUCUACUGCUUUAAUAUGGUUCUGAUUGGUGCCCUGCAUCUUCCAAGAUAUAUGGAUUUUGGUCGAGGUAGUCAUCACAUAAGUAAAAUGCUAUCAACCUCUCAAUUUCUGAAUGGAUUUGUUAAAUUGCCUUUCUCUUGUUGGAUCACAUACCUGAUUUGUUUGUUGUCCUUGAAGCAAAUACCAUGACAUGAGCUUGAAGAUUUCAAAGAUACAGAAGGUUGACAGAAAGAGGAUACACUGAUUUCAGCUGCGGACAUUGAGCUGAGUCUCUCCCUAAUAGGUAACUCACCUUUCAACAUAUUCAUUGCAGAAGCAGAAACAAUGGGAUACAUGACCUGCAUACUUGCAUUCUGACAUGUUUUUGCCCAUGCCGUAAAAUUGGAAUGAUGUCCAUGCUGUUAACCUCUACAACUUACCCACACUUCAGAUAACCCAAGGUCUGGAACCCCAACAAUUUUAGUACGUAGCAAAUGUAACUUCUUCUCUAACAAAAAUAAUAAUGAGAGGCAUGUUACAGUUAGUUUUACCCUGAGAAUUGAUCAUCAUUCUGUAACCUUAAGACAAACAUAUAACUUGUGACAUAUUCAUGCAGAUGUGUGCUUUGCAAAUCGACUGACCUUUUUUGUCUUCUGUGAAUAGAUGUUGAAUGCUAAUAUAAAUCUGCAAUAUGUCUCAGCAAAAAUGUGGACUUCAUAAUUUGUCUUUCAAUGGUGCAUAGUUCAAUUUUUUCUUCCUAAUUUAUACAGUAUCAGCUCAUAUGCCGAUUUAUCUCAUAAAUAAGUAUUCACUCUUACAACACCACCAUGCAUGUUUUCUACACUUCUGCAGCAGUCCAUCUUUCAAUUUUGAUUUGCAUAACCAUGCAUAUAUAGUGUAUUGAAGCAGCAAAUGGCAUUUACCAUGCUGCUAAAAUAAGCAUCAAAAUUGAAGAGUGUAUUGAACCAGUGGGAGAAGUUAAUGUUCCACGGAAUUGCUAAUCCCGUCUCCAAGGUUUAAUGUUUGUUAUUGACCUAAGAGAAAAUGGGUUCUGCAUCUCUGAUGUGAUGUAUUUCUAACAAACAGUGGCAAAAUGCACGGGUAAUUACUCUUAUAUAGUUUGAUGCUUGAAAAGUUGUAGAGUCGGCGCCUCUCUUUGAAGUGUACAUGAUGUAAUAAGAACAAAAAAUAAAGAAGCAUCUUGAGUACCAUGCCCAGAUACAGUGUUAAUGCUCACAGCUCUAUUUUGUUCCAUUAGAAAUACAAUUAUAUUUUGUUACAUUCAGGUAGUGUUAUAUCAUGCACGUGUGUUACAGGUGUUUCUCUCUACUUUGUGCUCCAGAUUUGUUUCCCUACAAUAUGGCGGAUUAAUGUAUAUUCUUCUGAAGUCAUAGUACAUUCAUGGUCUGUAUAUAUGUUUGUAUGCUGCAAACCUGAGUCCGGUAGGCAGCGGCUGAUUUCUUCAUUUGCUAUCUUUAUAUUCUUCAAAGCAAUUUAAUUUCUUAUCUUGCACCUGUGAUGAACCUACAAUCUAGAGCACAAGGAAACUAUAGAUAAUUUGUUCUAUUGCCUCUGUGAACUUAAGUUAUGGCUUUUAAUAAAAGUAUUUAAACACCAUGUCUUUUAUAUGGAUGUCUACCUUUUCCAAAAGAAUUGAUAUUCUAUUUGGUGUAAUUCAGGAACAACUGAGCUAUCAAACAUAAUAUAGGAUGCAAAAAUAGAAGUGUAUGAGCAUGUAGUGUAUAAUUCGGGAGAUUAGGGGAAUGUAUUGACAAGUGACAAUCGUAUUUCCUUGCGUCCUCGAUGCUGCUUCCUUAGCUCACAUAGUAGUUCUUUUAAUACGUACCGUACUCAAUUUGAUUGGCAGGCUUCAGGUAAUUUGUGUUUGUGCGGUAACAUCAGCGGACCUGUACUGCUACGAAUUACAUCACGGACUAUGUGUUACUUUAUUAAUUGUAGUUUCUUUGUUCAGUUGGUUCUCUGGAAAAAACCACUUCUUCUCCCGAUGUAUAUGUUUUUUUUUGUGAAUUCCCGAUGUAUAUGUUUAAUACUAAUCUUCCAAAGAUUGUUGUAAGAAAUAACUAUAUUUACUAUCUUAUCUCAUCAGUGGGCUAAUUCUAUAAAAGAACUAAUAAGGAGAUUUCUUAGCAGUACUGUAUAUGUUUGGAGCAGUGAGAUAAUUUUAUCCUAUAUGACUUUCUUUCUCUUGCCUUUCCUGAUUUCGUUUUCCCCUCCAUUUUUUCAGGUUUCAAAGUUUGGCCGCAGCUAGCUUGAUUUGGAGACAUUUCCUGUUAGGAGUUAAACUUUGGUUUGGAGGCAUCGAGCUUUGGCUGUAACUAGCUUUGUUACUUGGUAUACCUCUGUCAGCAUUCAGGAGCCGGGUAGUUGUUGAGCGGGUUGUGGGAGAGGCGGUCGGCGAGCGCGGGCUAGACGGGAAGGUGAUGCUUGUGAUGGCGACCAUGCCGGCGGGCAGGGCAAGGUCGAUUGUGUCCAUCAUGGUGUUUCCGAGGGAGAGCGAGGCAUCUGCCAUCGCGCAUCUGAAGAAGUCGAUGCUCGGGGCGAGGUUGACCACCGUGGCCGGCGUGAAAGCGGACGGACUUAAAGGCCGGUGACAGGUUUGCUCUCGUCGCACCGUCUCUCAACUUGGCGGAGAGGCGAAAGGAGAGCGGUGGCACCAUGAAGACCUCGACGCCUGCUGCUGUGACCACGACCAGGCCAUUGUGUUUGUAAUAAAGAUACUAAUUGUAUACAUAUCCCCCAGCUUCAAAAACAUUAGAUAAAUAUCCAACUUAUUAUUGAAAAAUCUUGAUUCAAGAUAAAUGGAACCUUUCCUAUA